UUCCAGACUCCUACGGGAGGCAGCAGUGAGGAAUAUUGGUCAAUGGGCGAGAGCCUGAACCAGCCAAGUCGCGUGAGGGAGUACUGCCCUAUGGGUUGUAAACCUCUUUUGUCGGGGAGCAAAAGCCGGACGUGUCCGGCUGUGAGAGUACCCGAAGAAAAAGCAUCGGCUAACUCCGUGCCAGCAGCCGCGGUAAUACGGAGGAUGCGAGCGUUAUCCGGAUUUAUUGGGUUUAAAGGGUGCGCAGGCGGAUUUUUAAGUCAGCGGUCAAAUCGUGGGGCUAAACCCCGUCCAGCCGUUGAAACUGGCGUUCUUGAGUGGAAGAGAAGUAUGCGGAAUGCGUGGUGUAGCGGUGAAAUGCAUAGAUAUCACGCAGAACCCCGAUUGCGAAGGCAGCAUGCCGGCUUCCGACUGACGCUGAAGCACGAAAGCGUGGGGAUCGAACAGGAUUAGAUACCCGAGUAC
RNAcentral lists this ribosomal RNA (465 nucleotides) under uncultured bacterium. RNAcentral describes it as "bacterial SSU rRNA". It matches the Rfam family "Bacterial small subunit ribosomal RNA", at positions 329 to 793 of the family's 1533-position model. The record is from RNAcentral.